RNAcentral lists this unclassified non-coding RNA (866 nucleotides) under Terfezia boudieri. RNAcentral describes it as "sequence contains ITS1, 5.8S rRNA gene and ITS2". The stretch from base 338 to 491 matches the Rfam family "5.8S ribosomal RNA". Lineage: Eukaryota; Fungi; Ascomycota; Pezizomycetes; Pezizales; Pezizaceae. The record is from RNAcentral.
CAAGCUAUUUAGGUGACACUAUAGAAUACUCAAGCUAUGCAUCCAACGCGUUGGGAGCUCUCCCAUAUGGUCGACCUGCAGGCGGCCGCGAAUUCACUAGUGAUUUCCGUAGGUGAACCUGCGGAAGGAUCAUUACUGAAAAACUAUUUUUAAGUUUUUUAUAUCCCAUUGUUUACUUACCCUGUUGCUUUCACUGGACAGAUUUCACCUUGUGUGGGUCCUUUGGCUAGUGUGAAAUACCACUUGCCAAAGAGUUGCCAGUGGUAAGACCUAUUUAUCAAAACUUGAGUUUCAAUAAACACAAUUGUCUGAAUAUUUUUUUUCUUUAAUGAAAUAAAACUUUCAACAACGGAUCUCUAGGCUCUUGCAUCGAUGAAGAACGCAGUGAAAUGCGAUAAGUAAUGUGAAUUGCAGAAUCUCGUGAAUCAUUGAAUCUUUGAACGCACAUUGCGCCCUAUGGUAUUCCAUUGGGCAUGCCUGUCUGAGCGUCAGCUCCCCCUCCACUCAAGAAUCAUUUUAUAUGAUACUUGGAUUACUUUGGAGAUGUAACUGUAUAUUAAGUUGCCCUCCAGAAAUUCAUUGGCAGUAUGGUUUGUACUUGGACCAGACGUAAUAGUAAUAAAAUCGUUUGUUUGGGUAUAAUUGAUUGUACUUGCCUUAACCCCCACCCAUUUUUAUCUUGGGUGACCUCAGAUCAGGUAGGGAUACCCGCUGAACUUAAGCAUAUCAAUAAGCGGAGGAAAUCGAAUUCCCGCGGCCGCCAUGGCGGCCGGGAGCAUGCGACGUCGGGCCCAAUUCGCCCUAUAGUGAGUCGUAUUACAAUUCACUGGCCGUCGUUUUACAACGUCGUGACUGGGAAAACCCUG